UUGAAAGGGAAACGAUUGAAGUCAGUCGUACCAGCGGGAAAUCAACUUUCGAGUGGGGGUUUUGGAGUUUUUUGAAGAGUGUCAAAACCUUUGAGAUUUCAAAAUAUUCGCUCUUUUGGUGUACUUUCUUGUGGGUAGGUUAACAUCGAUUUUGAUCAUCAUAAAAAGAUUGGAGGAAUGUAGCUUCGAUCUUGUAUUGAAGUGUUAUAGCCUUUGGUAAAUGUGAUGAUUAGGAUCGAGGAUUGCAACGAAUACCCUUUUGGGCUAUCCGCCUGAUCUCUGAUACGUGGCCUUGGUAUGAAAGGUGCUUAUGGUAUUGAGGUAUUACGGUCAAAAGGUUAGAACGGAUUAAUUCGUUAAGGAUGUUGACGUA
Molecule: ribosomal RNA, 373 nt
Filed under: uncultured Glomeromycotina
Lineage: Eukaryota; Fungi; Glomeromycota
Description: LSU rRNA
Source: RNAcentral